UGCAAGUCGAGCGGGGUUUUCGGACCUAGCGGCGGACGGGUGAGUAAUGCGUAGGAAGCUACCCGAUAGAGGGGGAUACCAGUUGGAAACGACUGUUAAUACCGCAUAAUGUCUACGGACCAAAGUGUGGGACCUUCGGGCCACAUGCUAUCGGAUGCGCCUACGUGGGAUUAGCUAGUUGGUGGGGUAAUGGCUCACCAAGGCGACGAUCCCUAGCUGGUUUGAGAGGAUGAUCAGCCACACUGGAACUGAGACACGGUCCAGACUCCUACGGGAGGCAGCAGUGGGGAAUAUUGGACAAUGGGCGCAAGCCUGAUCCAGCCAUGCCGCGUGUGUGAAGAAGGCCUUCGGGUUGUAAAGCACUUUCAGCGAGGAGGAAGGGAGUUGUGUUAAUAGCACAGCUUCUUGACGUUACUCGCAGAAGAAGCACCGGCUAACUCUGUGCCAGCAGCCGCGGUAAUACAGAGGGUGCAAGCGUUAAUCGGAAUUACUGGGCGUAAAGCGCACGUAG
Molecule: ribosomal RNA, 511 nt
Filed under: uncultured bacterium
Lineage: Bacteria
Description: bacterial SSU rRNA
Rfam family: Bacterial small subunit ribosomal RNA
Source: RNAcentral